This is a long non-coding RNA of Pungitius pungitius (ninespine stickleback), 779 nucleotides long. RefSeq lists it as uncharacterized. NCBI's taxonomy places the organism in Eukaryota, Metazoa, Chordata, Actinopteri, Perciformes, Gasterosteidae. The transcript has 4 exons. The record is from RefSeq and is a predicted model, not a curated record.
GGGGGGGGGAAGGGGUGCGGAGAACGAGCGCUGAUUGCGUCGGUGGCGCAUGCUGCAGAAGUAAGGGCGGCUCGGGUGGACGUUUACGGUACCGGGACAGAGUCGGAGGGAGAGAGCGAGGGAGCGAGGGAGAAAGAGAGAGAGAGAGAGAGAGAGAGAGAGAGAGAGAGGGGGAGAGGGAGAGGGAGGAUUUUUUUUUUUCAUGGAGACAUCACGAGGUGAAAGCGAACGUAAACACCUUGCGUGAAGGAGUCGGUGGAGCGGACGACUUGGAUUACGGCGCUCCGUGCGCGUCCGCGUUCACUGCAAAUAAAUACAUCCAAACAACGGGCCCCGGGCCGUGUUUUCGGGCUGUUUGCUUCCGGUAGAAGGCCGAGAGCUGAACAACAAACCGGGCAGUUUUCUCUCCCUCUCCCACACACUUUUUUUUUUUGGAAGCCGAACUUUUCGCGGGUGGAAAAUGGGUCUUUGAGAGGUGCUUGGCACGUUUCCCUCCACGCCACAAUGGCAACCGAAACCUUUCUGUUGAACGAGGAACCCACCAGAGGCCCGGGGAUGCCUGAAUGCUUUGUAGUAUCAGAUUCAUACAGGGCGGGGUUACAGUACGCUGCAGCAGCAUGGAGUGAGAGAACCGGGACGGAGAGCGAAAGCGAUGCAGCAGCGCAGCGACUCUAACCCGCGACUCUAGACCGCAGACAUGUACUCCCCGUACUGCUUGACACAGUAUUACCCUACUCACCUUCUAAACAAUGCCUUAGUGGUAAGUCCUAUUUAGUCCC